RNAcentral lists this unclassified non-coding RNA (287 nucleotides) under Hevea brasiliensis (rubber tree). The record is from RNAcentral. Lineage: Eukaryota; Viridiplantae; Streptophyta; Magnoliopsida; Malpighiales; Euphorbiaceae.
AUUUCAAAUGCAUAUAGUUUCAUGAGUGCUGUAACUGCAUACGACUUGACAGUUUCAUCAUUUGAAUAUGCGUCUGCCACAUCACAUAACUUCCCAGUAACAUAUGAAGCAGAAAACUUGCCAUCAGUAGUUCCAUAUUCCCCCAAUACCCAACAAAUGACUUGAAGAAAUAUAGAUGGAAGCUUUGGCUCUCCAAUAAUACGCAAAUAUGACUCCACAGCCGAUGAUCUCAAUUGACUAUCUGCAGUAUCAUCAUCUUCCCCAAAUCCCUCAGCAAUUAAGCGCAU